Long non-coding RNA from Chroicocephalus ridibundus (black-headed gull), 366 nucleotides. RefSeq lists it as uncharacterized. The record is from RefSeq and is a predicted model, not a curated record. The transcript is spliced from 3 exons. Lineage: Eukaryota; Metazoa; Chordata; Aves; Charadriiformes; Laridae.
AUCUUAUGUAAGUGAGGGAAAUAAGUGGCUGCUUUUCUGAAAUUCUUCAAAGACACAUGGUGGUUCAUUCACUCCCUCAACUUUCUCUGCCAGGAGGCUUGGAGACUUCAUGAAAGAUGCUUCUCAGAGAAAGAAGGUGUUGGAAUUUGGGAAGACUUUAUUUGGUUGUGCCUGUGGUGAGUGAAGCCCUGAGCAGCUACGCCCCACUUUUGGGUGGGGGUGAGGUGAGACCACGCAGCCCUUCCUGCUGAGGUCGGCACUGCUAUGAAAUGCAGCCAAUUUGGCCCCUGUUCCUCAGGGUGUUGGGAGGAAGAGCUUCUCCCCAGCUGUUGCCGAAGGGAAUUCCCUGCAACUCUUAAAUGUCCC